Molecule: ribosomal RNA, 398 nt
Filed under: uncultured bacterium
Lineage: Bacteria
Description: bacterial SSU rRNA
Rfam family: Bacterial small subunit ribosomal RNA
Source: RNAcentral
AAUCAACGCUGGCGGCGUGCCUCAGACAUGCAAGUCGAACGCGAAAGUCCCCUUCGGGGGACGAAGUAGAGUGGCGCACGGGUGAGUAACACGUAGGUAAUCUACCUUUGGAUGGGGAAUAACAACCGGAAACGGUUGCUAAUACCGCAUAAUGCAGCGGCACCUAAUGGUGACAGUUGUUAAAGCGGGGGAUCGAAAGACCUCGCGUCUGAAGAGGAGCCUGCGGCGGAUUAGCUAGNGGUAAGGUAAUGGCUUACCAAGGCUACGAUCCGUAACCGGCCUGAGAGGGCGGGUCGGUCACACUGACACUGACAUACGGGUCAGACUCCUACGGGAGGCAGCAGUCGGGAAUUUUGGCAAUGGGCGAAAGCCUGACCCAGCAACGCCGCGUGAAGGAU